Molecule: non-coding RNA, 23 nt
Filed under: Arabidopsis thaliana (thale cress)
Lineage: Eukaryota; Viridiplantae; Streptophyta; Magnoliopsida; Brassicales; Brassicaceae
Source: RNAcentral
AUCAUCACUGGAGCCACCAUCAC